GAUGAACGCUGGCGGCGUGCCUAAUACAUGCAAGUCGAGCGGACGGACGAGAAGCUUGCUUCUCUGAUGUUAGCGGCGGACGGGUGAGUAACACGUGGAUAACCUACCUAUAAGACUGGGAUAACUUCGGGAAACCGGAGCUAAUACCGGAUAAUAUUUUGAACCGCAUGGUUCAAAAGUGAAAGACGGUCUUGCUGUCACUUCUAGAUGGAUCCGCGGUGCAUUAGCUAGUUGGUAAGGUAACGGCUUACCAAGGCAACGAUGCAUGGCCGACCUGAGAGGGUGAUCGGCCACACUGGAACUGAGACACGGUCCAGAGUCCUACGGGAGGCAGCAGUAGGGAAUGUUCCGCAAUGGGCGAAAGCCUGACGGAGCGACGCCGCGUGAGUGAUGAGGGUCUUCGGAUCGUAAAACUCUGUUAUUGGUGAAGAACAUAUGUGUAAGUAACUGUGCACAUCUUGACGGUACCUAAUCAGAAAGCCACGGCUAACUACGUG
This 497-nucleotide ribosomal RNA is filed under the name uncultured bacterium. RNAcentral describes it as "partial 16S ribosomal RNA". It matches the Rfam family "Bacterial small subunit ribosomal RNA", at positions 28 to 507 of the family's 1533-position model. The record is from RNAcentral.